UGGAGCAAGCGACUCUUACAGUGCCGACAAGAAGAUGCAGGUCACUGUUGCUUUGAACCACUUCGGUAAAGGAUUGGUAGAGAGGAUGCCUAGGUGCCGAUUUGGUUUUAUUCAUGUCGUCAACAAUGACUACAAUCACUGGUUCCUGUAUGCCAUUGGCGGCACCAGCAACCCUACAAUUAUCAGCCAGGGAAAUAGGUAUUCAGCGCCAGGCUUUGGGGCUAAAGAGGUGACCUGUAGGGGCCUCUUAAAGCCGGGACAGUGGAAGAAUUGGAAUUGGGUAUCACAAGGUGACCACUUCGAGAACGGUGCCUUCUUUACACCAUCAGGUAAUCCAAGUGCCAGCAAGCAAUUUGGCGCCGACAAAAUGAUGCCUUUCAAACCUGGUCAAAUGGUCCCCGAGCUCACAAAGUAUGCCGGACCACUAAGCUGCACAAUCGGCCGUCCUUGCUAAAAAUGCUAUUUUUAUAUGCAUUUGUCCUCCCUUUUUUACGUACAAUAUUUGAUACCCAAGCAUAGUACAUUUGGUAUCUUUUCUGAAUGAUUGUCAGUAAAUUUUCUUUUAUGCGAUCCCACCCUAUUCUCUUCUUCUCUCCUAGUAAUAGAUAAUCACAAUUUUUUUCUCACGCGUGACUGUGGAAAUCAUAAAUUUAGAACAUAAAUGUUUGUUUGAAAAUAACAUAUAAUGAAUAAUGAAAUGUGUGGUUUGAAAUAAAGUAACAAUAAUAACAUUGAUUAUCAUGGUGUUUUCAUCAAUCUUUAGUUGGUGUAGGCACCAAAUCAAUCAAAUACAUUAAUCUAACAUAUCUAGUAUAUAUAUUCUAUUGCAAGGUUUUUUUGGAUUUGUGGAAACCUUCAGUUUGAAGUGAGUUUAGAAUUCGCUAUGCGUCACCAAUCAUUUCAUGACAGCAAUGGAAAUUAAUGAAAUAAAAUAUUUGGUUAGAACUAAAGUUGCGUAAUUAAUUAAAAAUUUUAACAAUCGCGAGACCAUUUAGUUUCUAUAAAUUUUGCAUGUCCCAACUUACAUAUUCGGGUAAUUAGUCAUUUGUCAAAACACAUCAAAGUGAGAAAAGAAAGAAACAAGAAUCAUGGUCAUUCCUCAUAUAGUUAUAUUCGUAAUAAUGCAAUCGCAACGGUGAUUCCACCAGGUGUUCUUGCAUCACCAAGAACUAAAUUGAUUUUCUAGAACAAGAUUUAUAAUGGAGACAUCAAGUAUGUAUUUAAGGUGGUGUAUGAGUUAGAUUUCUUUAAGACUCAGCGGGGGUCGGGGAGCCGCCCAAGACAUUGCUUUUACCAGUAUAAAGUCAAAUACCGAAGCAAAAAAACUUGCAAAGCCGAGAGGACAUAGGAUUAAUAAUUCAGCACCUAUGUUUUGAGUUGCUCCAUAGUUGACGCGUGGUAUCAGCUUAGUAAGGGCUUAAAUAAUCGUAUAGAUAUUUAUAAUUGAUGGACAUAAUAAAGUAUGCUUAACAAAUUUGAAAAUCAAAAAAGAAAAUCAAUGUCUUGGUACAGUGUUAAAUUUAUGGUUUUACUAGCAUAAUAAUUGAUUUGGGUUCAAAUCCCUUCGACAACAUAUUUUAUAUUCUUUUAAAACAAUAAGAAUUAAAAUAACCUUCAAUAAUAUAACUUAUUUUAAACAUGACAGGAAUGUAUUUCUAAUUUCCGUAAUAGAGUCGAUGCUCGAUCGACUCAUGUCACCGAAUUAGUUAAGGACUUCAAUAAAUGUUAGUAUAGAUUGUAACAAUAAUGAAAUAUGCAUUAAAAAUCACCACAGAGGUUCAAUAUACACUCGAAUCUCUGUACUCUUUUAGACUUUUAAAAUUUGAAUACAUAGUGCUUUUAUAUUCAAAGGUCCAAGUAAUAAAUUAGAGUCCAAUUCAUAUCACAUAUUCAGAUUUGAGAGAAAUAAAUAAACUCUCUUACCAAUUGAACUUUUAUUUUUUAAAUCAACCAAGUGCAAGGAUUAAAAUCUUGAAAUUGAAAGGAGAGAGGUUUCAUCUGGAAAUGUUGAAGAGUAAAGGGAUUGGAGGAUAAUUAGAGAUUUUUUUUGUAAUUUCUGAAAUUAGACGUUUAGAAUGGUCUAAAAAAUGCAAGAAAACCUCAACUGUUUCUAUCCAAAAAAAAGGAAACAAAAUCCAACCAUUUUUUACGCACUUGAAACACUAGUAGCCAAGUGUGUUUUGUAAAUUUGGAAAUUUUCAUGAAUCCCGGUGUACUAUAAAUAGUGACAUAAUGAUGGUGUUCCAAGCAAAUCAUGCUCGAGUUCAAGUUUUUGGUGCCGUAGCUUGUCUCUCCUGUCCUAUUAGGGUCCUGUUUGCAUCCAACCAGUUGUUUCCAAGAGCUAGGCUUUGAUACUUAAAAUAAGAACCACUAUGGGUAUUUCUAGUUAUAGUUUCUUUCUGUUUUUAUUUGUUGUCAUAAUCCCAACCCUAGAAGCUCAUAUCGCUGAGUAUGACGAGUACUGGACGGCACGAGAAUUGGAAGCCAUUGAGAACCUGGACAAGGCCUAUCACUCCAACCCGGAGGAGGUGGUCCGCCAUUACAAUGACCACUUCUCUAGGACCAUGCUCGAGUUUUAUAUCACCAAAAGGGUGUUGGCAGAAUCAAAAAAGGGUCCCUGUGAGGUUACCAACCACGUUGACAGUUGCUGGCGAUGUGAUCCUGACUGGGAAAAGAAUAGGAAGAAGUUGGCCAACUGUGCCCCUGGAUUUGCUCGAGGUACUACCGGUGGAAAGGAUGGUGAGUUUUACGUGGUCACUGACCCUAUUGAUAAUGCUGCUGACCCCAAGCCUGGAACUCUGCGUCAUGCUGUCACCCAAACUGGACCACUUUGGAUCACUUUCAAAGGGUCCAUGACCAUCAAGCUGCAACAGGAGCUCAUUGUUACAAGUGAUAAGACCAUUGAUGCGAGGGGAGCCAAUGUGGAAAUUUGUAAUGGUGCUGGUAUCACUAUCCAAUUUGUGAAGAAUAUCAUUAUCCAUGGCCUUCAAAUCCAUCACAUUAUUCCCGCCAAGGGUGGCAAGAUCAAGGAUGGUGAAAACCACCAUGGGUUACGGGGUGACAGCGACGGAGACGGGGUGUCUAUUUUUGGAUCAACCAAUGUUUGGCUUGACCAUCUUGCCCUUCACCAUUGCGCCGAUGGCCUUAUCGAUGUCGUUCAAGGAUCAACUGCCGUUACCGUUUCUAACUGCCACUUCACUGACCAUAACGAUGUAAGCUUACUUUCCUUUCAAUUUUAAACUACGCACGAUGAGGAAUUUUUUGAUUGACAAAAAUAAUACAAUUGAAAUGAAAAAAAUUACAGGUGAUGUUGUUUGGAGCAAGCGACUCUUACAGUGCCGACAAGAAGAUGCAGGUCACUGUUGCUUUGAACCACUUCGGUAAAGGAUUGGUAGAGAGGAUGCCUAGGUGCCGAUUUGGUUUUAUUCAUGUCGUCAACAAUGACUACAAUCACUGGUUCCUGUAUGCCAUUGGCGGCACCAGCAACCCUACAAUUAUCAGCCAGGGAAAUAGGUAUUCAGCGCCAGGCUUUGGGGCUAAAGAGGUGACCUGUAGGGGCCUCUUAAAGCCGGGACAGUGGAAGAAUUGGAAUUGGGUAUCACAAGGUGACCACUUCGAGAACGGUGCCUUCUUUACACCAUCAGGUAAUCCAAGUGCCAGCAAGCAAUUUGGCGCCGACAAAAUGAUGCCUUUCAAACCUGGUCAAAUGGUCCCCGAGCUCACAAAGUAUGCCGGACCACUAAGCUGCACAAUCGGCCGUCCUUGCUAAAAAUGCUAUUUUUAUAUGCAUUUGUCCUCCCUUUUUUACGUACAAUAUUUGAUACCCAAGCAUAGUACAUUUGGUAUCUUUUCUGAAUGAUUGUCAGUAAAUUUUCUUUUAUGCGAUCCCACCCUAUUCUCUUCUUCUCUCCUAGUAAUAGAUAAUCACAAUUUUUUUCUCACGCGUGACUGUGGAAAUCAUAAAUUUAGAACAUAAAUGUUUGUUUGAAAAUAACAUAUAAUGAAUAAUGAAAUGUGUGGUUUGAAAUAAAGUAACAAUAAUAACAUUGAUUAUCAUGGUGUUUUCAUCAAUCUUUAGUUGGUGUAGGCACCAAAUCAAUCAAAUACAUUAAUCUAACAUAUCUAGUAUAUAUUCUAUUGCAAGGUUAUUUUGGAUUUGUGGAAACCUUCAGUUUGAAGUGAGUUUAGAAUUCGCUAUGCGUCACCAAUCAUUUCAUGACAGCAAUGGAAAUUAAUGAAAUAAAAUAUUUGGUUAGAACUAAAGUUGCGUAAUUAAUUAAAAAUUUUAACAAUCGCGAGACCAUUUAGUUUCUAUAAAUUUUGCAUGUCCCAACUUACAUAUUCGGGUAAUUAGUCAUUUGUCAAAACACAUCAAAGUGAGAAAAGAAAGAAACAAGAAUCAUGGUCAUUCCUCUAUAGUUAUAUUCGUAAUAAUGCAAUCGCAACGGUGAUUCCACCAGGUGUUCUUGCAUCACCAAGAACUAAAUUGAUUUUCUAGAACAAGAUUUAUAAUGGAGACAUCAAGUAUGUAUUUAAGGUGGUGUAUGAGUUAGAUUUCUUUAAGACUCAGCGGGGGUCGGGGAGCCGCCCAAGACAUUGCUUUUACCAGUAUAAAGUCAAAUACCGAAGCAAAAAAACUUGCAAAGCCGAGAGGACAUAGGAUUAAUAAUUCAGCACCUAUGUUUUGAGUUGCUCCAUAGUUGACGCGUGGUAUCAGCUUAGUAAGGGCUUAAAUAAUCGUAUAGAUAUUUAUAAUUGAUGGACAUAAUAAAGUAUGCUUAACAAAUUUGAAAAUCAAAAAAGAAAAUCAAUGUCUUGGUACAGUGUUAAAUUUAUGGUUUUACUAGCAUAAUAAUUGAUUUGGGUUCAAAUCCCUUCGACAACAUAUUUUAUAUUCUUUUAAAACAAUAAGAAUUAAAAUAACCUUCAAUAAUAUAACUUAUUUUAAACAUGACAGGAAUGUAUUUCUAAUUUCCGUAAUAGAGUCGAUGCUCGAUCGACUCAUGUCACCGAAUUAGUUAAGGACUUCAAUAAAUGUUAGUAUAGAUUGUAACAAUAAUGAAAUAUGCAUUAAAAAUCACCACAGAGGUUCAAUAUACACUCGAAUCUCUGUACUCUUUUAGACUUUUAAAAUUUGAAUACAUAGUGCUUUUAUAUUCAAAGGUCCAAGUAAUAAAUUAGAGUCCAAUUCAUAUCACAUAUUCAGAUUUGAGAGAAAUAAAUAAACUCUCUUACCAAUUGAACUUUUAUUUUUUAAAUCAACCAAGUGCAAGGAUUAAAAUCUUGAAAUUGAAAGGAGAGAGGUUUCAUCUGGAAAUGUUGAAGAGUAAAGGGAUUGGAGGAUAAUUAGAGAUUUUUUUUUGUAAUUUCUGAAAUUAGACGUUUAGAAUGGUCUAAAAAAUACAAGAAAACCUCAACUGUUUCUAUCCAAAAAAAAGGAAACAAAAUCCAACCAUUUUUUACGCACUUGAAACACUAGUAGCCAAGUGUGUUUUGUAAAUUUGGAAAUUUUCAUGAAUCCCGGUGUACUAUAAAUAGUGACAUAAUGAUGGUGUUCCAAGCAAAUCAUGCUCGAGUUCAAGUUUUUGGUGCCGUAGCUUGUCUCUCCUGUCCUAUUAGGGUCCUGUUUGCAUCCAACCAGUUGUUUCCAAGAGCUAGGCUUUGAUACUUAAAAUAAGAACCACUAUGGGUAUUUCUAGUUAUAGUUUCUUUCUGUUUUUAUUUGUUGUCAUAAUCCCAAACCUAGAAGCUCAUAUCGCUGAGUAUGACGAGUACUGGACGGCACGAGAAUUGGAAGCCAUUGAGAACCUGGACAAGGCCUAUCACUCCAACCCGGAGGAGGUGGUCCGCCAUUACAAUGACCACUUCUCUAGGACCAUGCUCGAGUUUUAUAUCACCAAAAGGGUGUUGGCAGAAUCAAAAAAGGGUCCCUGUGAGGUUACCAACCACGUUGACAGUUGCUGGCGAUGUGAUCCUGACUGGGAAAAGAAUAGGAAGAAGUUGGCCAACUGUGCCCCUGGAUUUGCUCGAGGUACUACCGGUGGAAAGGAUGGUGAGUUUUACGUGGUCACUGACCCUAUUGAUAAUGCUGCUGACCCCAAGCCUGGAACUCUGCGUCAUGCUGUCACCCAAACUGGACCACUUUGGAUCACUUUCAAAGGGUCCAUGACCAUCAAGCUGCAACAGGAGCUCAUUGUUACAAGUGAUAAGACCAUUGAUGCGAGGGGAGCCAAUGUGGAAAUUUGUAAUGGUGCUGGUAUCACUAUCCAAUUUGUGAAGAAUAUCAUUAUCCAUGGCCUUCAAAUCCAUCACAUUAUUCCCGCCAAGGGUGGCAAGAUCAAGGAUGGUGAAAACCACCAUGGGUUACGGGGUGACAGCGACGGAGACGGGGUGUCUAUUUUUGGAUCAACCAAUGUUUGGCUUGACCAUCUUGCCCUUCACCAUUGCGCCGAUGGCCUUAUCGAUGUCGUUCAAGGAUCAACUGCCGUUACCGUUUCUAACUGCCACUUCACUGACCAUAACGAUGUAAGCUUACUUUCCUUUCAAUUUUAAACUACGCACGAUGAGGAAUUUUUUGAUUGACAAAAAUAAUACAAUUGAAAUGAAAAAAAUUACAGGUGAUGUUGUUUGGAGCAAGCGACUCUUACAGUGCCGACAAGAAGAUGCAGGUCACUGUUGCUUUGAACCACUUCGGUAAAGGAUUGGUAGAGAGGAUGCCUAGGUGUCCGAUUUGGUUUUAUUCAUGUCGUCAACAAUGACUACAAUCACUGGUUCCUGUAUGCCAUUGGCGGCACCAGCAACCCUACAAUUAUCAGCCAGGGAAAUAGGUAUUCAGCGCCAGGCUUUGGGGCUAAAGAGGUGACCUGUAGGGGCCUCUUAAAGCCGGGACAGUGGAAGAAUUGGAAUUGGGUAUCACAAGGUGACCACUUCGAGAACGGUGCCUUCUUUACACCAUCAGGUAAUCCAAGUGCCAGCAAGCAAUUUGGCGCCGACAAAAUGAUGCCUUUCAAACCUGGUCAAAUGGUCCCCGAGCUCACAAAGUAUGCCGGACCACUAAGCUGCACAAUCGGCCGUCCUUGCUAAAAAUGCUAUUUUUAUAUGCAUUUGUCCUCCCUUUUUUACGUACAAUAUUUGAUACCCAAGCAUAGUACAUUUGGUAUCUUUUCUGAAUGAUUGUCAGUAAAUUUUCUUUUAUGCGAUCCCACCCUAUUCUCUUCUCCUCUCCUACUAAUAGAUAAUCACAAUUUUUUUCGAACGCGUAACUGUGGAAGUCAGAAAUUUUUAACAUAAAUGUUUGUUUGAAAAUAACAUAUAAUGAAUAAUGAAAUGUGUGGUUUGAAAUAAAGUAACAAUAAUAACAUUGAUUAUCAUGGUGUUUUCCUCAAUCUUUAGUUGGUGUAGGCACCAAAUCAAUCAAAUACAUUAAUCUAACAUAUCUAGUAUAUAUAUUCUAUUGCAAGGUUAUUUUGGAUUUGUGGAAACCUUCAGUUUGAAGUGAGUUUAGAAUUCGCUAUGCGUCACCAAUCAUUUCAUGACAGGAAUGGAAAUUAAUGAAAUAAAAUAUUUGGUUAGAACUAAAGUUGCGUAAUUAAUUAAAAAUUUUAACAAUCGCGAGACCAUUUAGUUUCUAUAAAUUUUGUAUGUCCCGACUUACAUAUUCGGGUAAUUAGUCAUUUGUCAAAACACAUCAAAGUGAGAAAAGAAAAAAACAAGAAUCAUGAGCAUUCCUCAUAUAGUAAUAUUCAUAAUAAUGCAAUCGCAACGGUGAUUCCACCAGGUGUUCUUGCAUCACCAAGAACUAAAUUGAUUUUCUAGAACAACAUUUAUAAUGGAGACAUCAAGUAUGUAUUUAAGGUGGUGUAUGAGUUUGAUUUCUUUAAGACUCGGCGGGGGUCGGGGAGCCGCCCAAGACAUUGCUUUUACCAGUAUAAAGUCAAAUACUGAAGCAAAAAAACUUGCAAAGCCGAGAGGACAUAGGAUUAAUAAUUCAGCAUCUAUGUUUUGAGUUGUUCCAUAGUUGACGCGUGGUAUCAGCUUAGUAAGGGCUUAAAUAAUCGUAGAGACAUUUAUAAUUGAUGGACAUAAUUAAGUAUGCGUAACAAAUUUGAAAUUCAUAAAAGAAAAUCAAUGCUUUGGUACAGUGUUAAAUUUAAGGUUUUACUAGCAUAAUAAUUUAAGUCACCACAGAGGUUCAAUAUACACUCGAAUCUCUGUACUCUUUUAGACUUUUAAAAUUUGAAUACAUAGUGCUUUUAUAUUCAAAGGUCCAAGUAAUAAAUUAGAGUCCAAUUCAUAUCACAUAUUCAGAUUUGAGAGAAAUAAAUAAACUCUCUUACCAAUUGAACUUUUAUUUUUUAAAUCAACCAAGUGCAAGGAUUAAAAUCUUGAAAUUGAAAGGAGAGAGGUUUCAUCUGGAAAUGUUGAAGAGUAAAGGGAUUGGAGGAUAAUUAGAGAUUUUUUUUUGUAAUUUCUGAAAUUAGACGUUUAGAAUGGUCUAAAAAAUACAAGAAAACCUCAACUGUUUCUAUCCAAAAAAAAGGAAACAAAAUCAACCAUUUUUUACGCACUUGAAACACUAGUAGCCAAGUGUGUUUUGUAAAUUUGGAAAUUUUCAUGAAUCCCGGUGUACUAUAAAUAGUGACAUAAUGAUGGUGUUUCCAAGCAAAUCAUGCUCGAGUUCAAGUUUUUGGUGCCGUAGCUUGUCUCUCCUGUCCUAUUAGGGUCCUGUUUGCAUCCAACCAGUUGUUUCCAAGAGCUAGGCUUGAUACUUAAAAUAAGAACCACUAUGGGUAUUUCUAGUUAUAGUUUCUUUCUGUUUUUAUUUGUUGUCAUAAUCCCAAACCUAGAAGCUCAUAUCGCUGAGUAUGACGAGUACUGGACGGCACGAGAAUUGGAAGCCAUUGAGAACCUGGACAAGGCCUAUCACUCCAACCCGGAGGAGGUGGUCCGCCAUUACAAUGACCACUUCUCUAGGACCAUGCUCGAGUUUUAUAUCACCAAAAGGGUGUUGGCAGAAUCAAAAAAGGGUCCCUGUGAGGUUACCAACCACGUUGACAGUUGCUGGCGAUGUGAUCCUGACUGGGAAAAGAAUAGGAAGAAGUUGGCCAACUGUGCCCCUGGAUUUGCUCGAGGUACUACCGGUGGAAAGGAUGGUGAGUUUUACGUGGUCACUGACCCUAUUGAUAAUGCUGCUGACCCGAAUCCUAGAACUCUACGUCAUCUUGUCACCAAAAAUGGACCACUUUGGAUCAUUUUCAAAGGGCCCAUGACCAUCAAGCUGCAAGAGGAGCUCAUUGUUACAAGUGAUAAAACCAUUGAUGCGAGGGGAGCCAAUGCGGAAAUUUUUACUGGUACUGGUAUCACUAUCCAAUUUCCAAAGAACGUCAUUAUCCAUGGCCUUUAAGUCCAUCUCAUUAUUCCCGCUAAGGGUGGCAAGAUCAAGGAUGGUGAAAACCACCAUGGGUUACGAGGUGACAGCGACGGAGAUGGGGUCUCUCUUUACGGAGCAACCAAUGUUUGGCUCGACCAUCUUUCCCUUCACCAUUGCACCGAUGGCCUUAUCGAUCUCGUUCAAGGAUCAACUGCCGUUACCAUUUCUAGCUGCCACUUCACUGACCACAACGAUGUAAGCUUACUUUCCUUUGUAUUUUAAACUAGGCACGAUGAGGAAUUUUUUGAUUGACAAAAAUAAUACAAUUGAAAUGUAAAAAAUUACAGGUGAUGUUGUUUAGAGCAAGCGACUCCUACAGUGCCGACAAUAAGAUGCAGGUCACUGUUGCUUUGAACCACUUCGGUAAAGGAUUGGUAGAGAGGAUGCCUAGGUGGCGAUUUGGUUUUAUUCAUGUCGUCAACAAUGACUACAAUCACUGGUUCCUGUAUGCCAUUGGCGGCACCAGCAACCCUACAAUUAUUAGCCAGGGCAAUAGGUAUUCUACGCCAGUCACCUGUAGGGGCCUCUUAAAGCCAGCACAGUGGAAGAAUUGGAACUGGGUAUCACAAGGUGACCACUUUGAGAACGGUGCGUUUUUGCACCAUCCGGUAAUCCAAGUGCCAGCAAGUAAUUUGGUACUGACAAAAUGAUUCCUUUCAAACCCGGUCAAAUGGUCUUCGAACUCACAAAGUAUGCCGGACCACUCAACUGCACAAUCAGCCGUCCUUGCUAAAAAUGCUAUUUUAUAUGCAUGUGUCCUCUGUUUUACGUACAAUAUUUGAUACCCAAGCGUAGUACAUUUGGUAUCUUUUCUGAAUGAUUGUCAGUAAAUUUUCUGUUAUGUGAUUCCACCCUAUUCUCUUCUUCACUCCUACUAAUAGAUAAUUACAAUUUUUUUCACACGCGUAACUGUGCAAAUCAUAAAUUUAGAACAUAAAUGUUUGUUUGAAAAUAACAUAUAAUGAAUAAUGAAAUGUGUGGUUUGAAACAAAGUAACAAUAAUAACAUUGAUUAUCAUAGUGUUUUCAUCAAUCUUUAGUUGGUGUAGGCACCAAAUCAAUGAAAUACAUUAAUCUAACAUAUCUAGUAUAUAUAUUCUAUUGCAAGGUUUUUUUGGAUUUGUGGAAACCUUCAGUUUGAAGUGAGUUUAGAAUUUGGUAUGUGUCACCAAUCAUUUCUUGACGGGUAUGGAAAUUAAUGAAAUAAAAUAUAUGGUUAGAACUAAAGUUGCGUAUUUAAUUAAAAAUUCUAACAAUCGUGAGACCAUUUAGUUUCUAUAAAUUUUGUAUGUCCCAAUUUACAUAGUCGGGUACUCAGUCAUUUGUCAAAACACAUCAAAGUGAGAAAAGAAAGAAACAAGAAUCAUGAGCGUUCCUCAUAUAGUAAUAUUCCUAAUAAUGCAAUCACAACGGCGAUUCCACUCUGUGUUCUUUCAUCACCAUGAACUAAAUUGAUUUUUUACAACAACAUUUAUAAUCGAGACAUCAACUAUGCAUUUAAGGUGGUGUAUGAGUUAUAUUUCUUUAAGACUCAGUGAGGGUUGGGGAGUCGUCCAAGACAUUGCUUUUACCAGUAUAAAGUCAAAUACAAAAGCAAAAAAACUUGCAAAGCCGAGAGGACAUAGGAUUAAUAAUUCGGUAUCUAUGUUUUGAGUUGCUCCUUAGUUGACGCAUGGUAUCAGCUUAGUAAGGGCUUAAAUAAUCGUAUAGAUAUUUAUAAUUGAUGGAGGUAAUAAAGCAUGCGUAACAAAAUUGAAAUUCAUAAAAGAAAAUCAAUGUUUAGGUACAGUGUUAAAUUUAAGGUUUUAGUAGCAUAAUAAUUGAUGUGGGUUCAAAUCCCUUCGACAACAUAUUUUAUAUUCUUUUAAAGUAAUAAGAAUUAAAAUAACCUUCAAUAAUAUAACUUAUUUCAAACAUGAAAGGAAAGUAUUUCUAAUUUCUGUUAUAGAGUGAUGCUCGAUCGACUCAUGUCACCAAAUUAGUUAAGGACUUCUAUAAAAGUUAGUAUAGAUUGUAACGAUAAUGAAAUAUGCAUUAAAAAUGACCAUAGAGGUUCAAUUUCCCCUUGAAUCUCUAUACUCUUUUAGACUUUUAAAAUUUGAAUACAUAGUACUUUUAUAUUCACAAGUCCAAGUAAUAAAUUAGAGUCCAAUUCAUAUCACAUAUUCAGAUUUAAGAGAAAUCAAUAAACUCUCUUACCAAUUAAACUUAUUUUUUAAAUCAGCCAAUGGAAGGAAUAAAAUCUUGAAAUUGAAAGGAGAGAGGUUUCAUAUGGAAAUGUUGAAGAGUAAAGAGAUUGGAGGAUAAUUAGAGAAUUUAUUUUCUGUAAUUUCUAAAAUUAAAGGUUCAGAAUGGCGUAAAAAAGGCAAGAAAAACCUCAAUUGUUUCUAUCUAAAAAAAAAGGAAACAAAAUCCAAAAAUUUUUUACGCACUUGUCACACUAGUAGGCAAGUGUGUUUUGUAAAUUUGGUACUUUAAAUGAAUCUUGGUGUACGAUAAAUAGUGACAUAAUGAUGAUGUUCCAAGCAAAUCAUGCUUGAGUUCAAGUUUUUUGUGUUGUAGCUUGUCUCUCCUAUCCUAUUAGGGUCUUGUUUGCAACCAACCAAUUGUUUCUAAAAGCGAGGCUUUGAUACAUAAAAUAAGAACCACUAUGGGUAUUUCUAGUUAUAGUUAUAGUUUCUUUCUAUUUUCAUUUGUUGUCAUAAUCCCAACCCUAGAAGCUCAUAUCGCUGAAUAUGACGAGUACUGGAAGGCACGAGAAUUGGAAGCCAUUGAGAACCUGGACAAGGCCUAUCAUUCCAACCCGGAGGAGGUGGUCCGCCAUUACAAUGACCACUUCUCUAGGACCAUGCUUGAGUUUUAUAUCACCAAAAGGGUGUUGGCAGAAUCAAAAAAGGAUCCCUUUGAGGUUACCAACCACGUUGACAGUUGCUGGCGAUAUGAUCUUGACUGGGAAAAGAACAGGAAGAAGUUGGUCGACUGUGCCCCUGGUUUUGCUCGUGGUACUACUGGUGGAAAGGAUGGUGAGUUUUACGUUGUCCCUAACCCUAUUGAUAACGCUGCUGACCCCAAGCCUGGAACUCUACGUCAUGCUGUCACCCAAACUGAACCACUUUGGAUCACUUUCAAAGGGUCCAUGACAAUCAAGCUGCAACAAGAGCUCAUUGUUACAAGUGAUAAAACCAUUGAUGCAAGGGAAGCCAAUGUGGAAAUUUUUAAUGGUGCUGGUAUCACUAUCCAAUAUGCGAAGAACGUCACUAACCAUGGCCUUCAAAUCCAUCACAUUAUUCCCGCCAAUGGUGGCAAGAUCAAGGAUGGUGAAAACCACCAUGGGUUACGUGGUGACAGCGACGGAGAUGGAGUCUCUCUUUUUGGAGCAACCAACGUUUGGCUCAACCAUCUUUCCCUUCACCAUUACACUGAUGGCCUUAUCGAUGUCGUUUAAGGAUCAACUGCUGUUACCAUUUCUAACUACCACUUCACUGACCACAACACUGUAAGCUUACUUUCCUUUCUAUUUUAAACUAGGCACGAUGAGGAAUUUUUUGAAUGAAAAAAAUAGUACAAUUGAAAUGAAAACAAUUACAGGUGAUGUUGUUUGGAGCAAGCGACUCUUACAGAGCCGACAAGAAGAUGCAGGUCACUGUUGCUUUGAACCACUUCGGUAAAGGAUUGGUAGAGAGGAUGCCUAGGUGCCGAUUUGGUUUUAUUCAUGUCGUCAACAAUGACUACAAUCACUGGUUCCUGUAUGCCAUUGGCGGCACCAGCAACCCUACAAUUAUCAGCCAGGGAAAUAGGUAUUCUGCACCAGGUACCUUCGGGGCUAAGAAGGUGACCUGUAGCGGCCUCUUAAAUCCAUCACAGUGAAAGAAUUGGAACUGGGUAUCACAGGGUGACCACUUCGAGAAGGGUGCCUUUUUUACACCAUCCGGUAAUCCAAGUGCCAGCAAGCAAAUUGGUGCUGACAAAAUGAUGCCUUUCAAACCCGGUCAAAUGGUCCCCGAACUCACAAAGUAUGCCG
Molecule: long non-coding RNA, 13450 nt
Filed under: Gossypium barbadense (sea-island cotton)
Lineage: Eukaryota; Viridiplantae; Streptophyta; Magnoliopsida; Malvales; Malvaceae
Description: long non-coding RNA (GBAR_LNC016476)
Source: RNAcentral